AACGCACGAGACCUGCGGACCUGCGGAGGGAUCAUUACCGAGUUGCUCCUGCUCUGCAGGAAACUCCCACCCUUGUUUACUGUCACUGUUGCUUGGCGAGACGCUACUCCUGUUAGACAGGAGUAGCCACCGGCUUUACGAGCUGGUGUGUGCUCGCCAAAGGUUUUUCACUCGAAUACGUGCUGUCAGAGCAAGCGAGAAUUGUUAAAAACUUUCAGCAACGGAUCUCUAGAUCGGAAG
RNAcentral lists this unclassified non-coding RNA (240 nucleotides) under soil metagenome. RNAcentral describes it as "partial contains 5.8S ribosomal RNA, internal transcribed spacer 2, and large subunit ribosomal RNA". The record is from RNAcentral.